Esox lucius (northern pike) is the source of this 1708-nucleotide long non-coding RNA. Lineage: Eukaryota; Metazoa; Chordata; Actinopteri; Esociformes; Esocidae. The record is from Ensembl.
UGUGUCUAUAUGGUCUUGUGAUGUGGUGUGUGUCUAUAGGGUCCUGUGAUGUGGUGUGUGUCUAUAUGGUCCUGUGAUGUGGUGUGUGUCUAUAUGGUCCUGUGAUGUGUGUGUGUCUAUAUGGUCUUGUGAUGUGUGUGUGUCUAUAUGGUCCUGUGAAGUGGUGUGUGUCUAUAUGGCCUUGUGAUGUGGUGUGUGUCUAUAUGGUCCUGUGAUGUGUGUGUGUCUAUAUGGUCUUGUGAUGUGUGUGUGUCUAUAUGGUCCUGUGAUGUGGUGUGUGUCUAUAUGGUACUGUGAUGUGGUGUGUGUCUAUAGGGUCCUGUGAUGUGUGUGUGUCUAUAUGGUCCUGUGAUGUGGUGUGUGUCUAUAAGGUACUGUGAUGUGGUGUGUGUCUAUAUGGUCCUGUGAUGUGGUGUGUGUCUAUAUGGUCCUGUGAUGUGGUGUGUGUCUAUAUGGUCCUGUGAUGUGGUGUGUGUCUAUAUGGUCCUGUGAUGUGUGUGUGUCUAUAUGGUCCUGUGAUGUGGUGUGUGUCUAUAUGGUCCUGUGAUGUGGUGUGUGUCUAUAUGGUCCUGUGAUGUGGUGUGUGCCUAUAGGGUCCUGUGAUGUGGUGUGUGUCUAUAGGCUCAUGUGAUGUGUGUGUGUCUAUAUGGUCCUGUGAUGUGGUGUGUGUCUAUAGGGUCCUGUGAUGUGGUGUGUGUCUAUAUGGUCCUGUGAUGUGGUGUGUGUGUGUCUAUAUGGUCCUGUGAUGUGGUGUGUGUCUUUAUGGUACUGUGAAGUGGUGUGUGUCUAUAUGGCCUUGUGAUGUGGUGUGUGUCUAUAUGGUCCUGUGAUGUGUGUGUGUCUAUAUGGUCUUGUGAUGUGUGUGUGUCUAUAUGGUCCUGUGAUGUGGUGUGUGUCUAUAUGGUACUGUGAUGUGGUGUGUGUCUAUAGGGUCCUGUGAUGUGUGUGUGUCUAUAUGGUCCUGUGAUGUGGUGUGUGUCUAUAUGGUCCUGUGAUGUGGUGUGUGUCUAUAAGGUACUGUGAUGUGGUGUGUGUCUAUAUGGUCCUGUGAUGUGGUGUGUGUCUAUAAGGUACUGUGAUGUGGUGUGUGUGUCUAUAGUGUCCUGUGAUGUGGUGUGUGUCUAUAAGGUACUGUGAUGUGGUGUGUGUCUAUAUGGUCCUGUGAUGUGGUGUGUGUCUAUAUGGUCCUGUGAUGUGGUGUGUGUCUAUAUGGUCCUGUGAUGUGGUGUGUGUCUAUAUGGUCCUGUGAUGUGUGUGUGUCUAUAUGGUCCUGUGAUGUGGUGUGUGUCUAUAUGGUCCUGUGAUGUGGUGUGUGUCUAUAGGGUUAUAUGAUGUGGGGUGUGCCUAUAAGGUACUGUGAUGUGGUAUGUGUCUAUAUGGUCCUGUGAUGUGGUGUGUGUCUAUAUGGUCCUGUGAUGUGGUGUGUGUGUGUCUAUAGUGUCCUGUGAUGUGGUGUGUGUCUAUAGGGUACUGUGAUGUGGUGUGUGUCUAUAGGGUUAUAUGAUGAGGUGUGUGUGUGUGUGUCUUACCGUUGGUGUCAUUGUCAUCACUCUUAGGAGGGGCGUGUCCUGUGUAUCCCACGGCAAUUCUGAUCAUCCGUUCUGGAUUCCUUAUCCUCUUCAACCCUACGAAGAGACAGAGAAAUAGAGACAGAGAGACCAACAGAGAGAGAGAGAGAGAACGAGAGACAGCAAGAAACAGAGAGAAG